AAAAAGAAAAGGUUAAUAUAUACAUUUACAGUAUCUAAUCCUUGCUUAAAUUCCUUCCUCUCCUUCCUUAAAAAAAAAAAAAAAAAGCAAUGGCGUACCUGUUCACAAACACAAUAAUCCGUAGUGCAGUCAAAUUGUUUGCUAUUGCCUUGCUCCUAAUUAUUGCUUGUCAAGCUGCAGGUAGCGUGGUUCCUGAUGAUCACUCCCGACCACCCAUCCCUGGUUGUGAUAAUGAAGGAUACAUCCCUCCUUACUGUCCACCCUCACAUUAAAUGAACUCUGCCCACGAGUCAUGGUUUCUGUUGAACUUCGGGUUGGAAAUAAUCCAUAUAUAUAUACAUAUAU
RNAcentral lists this long non-coding RNA (345 nucleotides) under Gossypium raimondii (Peruvian cotton). Its description in RNAcentral is "long non-coding RNA (GRAI_LNC005246)". The record is from RNAcentral. Lineage: Eukaryota; Viridiplantae; Streptophyta; Magnoliopsida; Malvales; Malvaceae.